This 751-nucleotide ribosomal RNA is filed under the name uncultured bacterium. RNAcentral describes it as "bacterial SSU rRNA". It matches the Rfam family "Bacterial small subunit ribosomal RNA", at positions 161 to 916 of the family's 1533-position model. The record is from RNAcentral.
GUCUAAUACCCCAUAACACUUAGUAAGGCAUCUUACAGAGUUGAAAUUUUCGGAGGUUAUGGAUGGGCAUGCGUGACACUAGCUAGAUGGUGAGGUAACGGCUCACCAUGGCGACGAUGUCUAGGGGGACUGAGAGGUUAACCCCCCACACUGGUACUGAGACACGGACCAGACUCCUACGGGAGGCAGCAGUGAGGAAUAUUGGUCAAUGGACGGAAGUCUGAACCAGCCAUGCCGCGUGCAGGAUGACGGCUCUAUGAGUUGUAAACUGCUUUUAUACGAGGGUAAAGUGAGGUACGUGUACCUUUUUGAAAGUAUCGUAUGAAUAAGGAUCGGCUAACUCCGUGCCAGCAGCCGCGGUAAUACGGAGGAUCCGAGCGUUAUCCGGAUUUAUUGGGUUUAAAGGGUGCGCAGGCGGCUUUGUAAGUUAGAGGUGAAAUUUCGGUGCUCAACAUCGAAACUGCCUCUGAUACUGCAGAGCUAGAGACCAGUUGCAGAAGGCGGAAUGUGUAGUGUAGCGGUGAAAUGCUUAGAUAUUACACAGAACACCGAUUGCGAAGGCAGCUUUCUAAGCUGGAUCUGACGCUGAGGCACGAAAGCGUGGGGAGCGAACAGGAUUAGAUACCCUGGUAGUCCACGCUGUAAACGAUGAUAACUCGUUGUCGGCGAUACAUAGUCGGUGACUAAGCGAAAGCGAUAAGUUAUCCACCUGGGGAGUACGUUCGCAGAAUGAAACUCAAAGGAUUGACGG